GUGACAGCAGCCGCGGUAAUACGAAGGUGGCUAGCGUUGUUCGGAAUCACUGGGCUUAAAGCGCACGUAGGCGGAGACGAAAGUGUCUUGUGAAAUCCCCCGGCUCAACCGGGGAAUUGUUGGGCAAACUACGUUUCUUGAGGCAAGCAGGGGUGUGUGGAACUCUUGGUGGAGCGGUGGAAUGCGUAGAUAUCAAGAGGAACGCCGAAGGUGAAGACAGCACACUGGGCUUGUCUUGACGCUGAGGUGCGAAAGCGUGGGGAGCGAACGGGAUUAGAUACCCGUGUAGUCC
RNAcentral lists this ribosomal RNA (292 nucleotides) under uncultured bacterium. Its description in RNAcentral is "partial 16S ribosomal RNA". It matches the Rfam family "Bacterial small subunit ribosomal RNA", at positions 505 to 796 of the family's 1533-position model. The record is from RNAcentral.